RNAcentral lists this ribosomal RNA (492 nucleotides) under uncultured bacterium. Its description in RNAcentral is "partial 16S ribosomal RNA". It matches the Rfam family "Bacterial small subunit ribosomal RNA", at positions 29 to 507 of the family's 1533-position model. The record is from RNAcentral.
AGUGAACGCUGGCGGUAGGCCUAACACAUGCAAGUCGAACGGCAGCACAGUAAGAGCUUGCUCUUACGGGUGGCGAGUGGCGGACGGGUGAGGAAUACAUCGGAAUCUACUUUUUCGUGGGGGAUAACGUAGGGAAACUUACGCUAAUACCGCAUACGACCUACGGGUGAAAGCAGGGGAUCUUCGGACCUUGCGCGGUUGAAUGAGCCGAUGUCGGAUUAGCUAGUUGGCGGGGUAAAGGCCCACCAAGGCGACGAUCCGUAGCUGGUCUGAGAGGAUGAUAAGCCACACUGGAACUGAGACACGGUCCAGACUCCUACGGGAGGCAGCAGUGGGGAAUAUUGGACAAUGGGCGCAAGCCUGAUCCAGCCAUACCGAGUGGGUGAAGAAGGCCUUCGGGUUGUAAAGACCUUUUGUUGGGAAAGAAAAGCAGCAGGUUAAUACCACGCUGUUCUGACGGUACCCAAAGAAUAAGCACCGGCUAACUUCGUG